CAGCAAAUCAGAUCAGUAUACAAGUCACAGCAGAUUUAAAGUGAGACUUCCCCAGGAUCCUUGUAUGAGAACAAACGAAAAUAUCCCAGUUUCCCCCCAACAUCAGCUAUAUAAAUAAUGCUACAGACGCAGACCCACGCUUUGGCGCCCCUCCUCCACCCGGGGCAGGAAGUCAGGCAGUUGUUCGGGUUUCUUGGGGCCAGGCCUGCCCUGUGAGGCGCCCCUCAGCCAUGUGCUCUAAGGGUGCCUGAGGAGAGAGAUGCUAAGGGAAGAGGAACCGGCGGCCAAGACUAACAAACAGGGCCCCUCAAGCGGAACAAUGGUCCAGAAAACUCAGCAAAAAAGAAAAUAAACUUCAUUGGCAGUUUGUUUUUUGACUGUUAAGGGCUUAGCUACAACUCUAUCAAGACUUUGAAGAAGGGUAAACAGAAGAACCACACCUCUGAGAGAAAGAAGCACUACUUCCGCUCCCACCUCCACCGCCUGGGGCCGGAGUUCAGCCUGGGUGAGAAGAGCUAGCUCUCAGGCCAAAGGCCUGAUGCUUUCAAAGGGCUUAACACAGCUGAGAAAUGUGUCACUGGGUCCAGACGACACUCAAGGAGACAGAUCCAAAAGGACCUUUCCAAGGAGUUUUGUCAACAAGUUCCCUGUCUUAAAGAGGGGAAUAUCCAGGAACUUGUAAACAUGGCUCCCGAGUGUAACAGACCGUGGCUCAGGCACAGGAUGGACAGCAUUUUCUUGACAACAUUCUACAUACUUAAACAUCCUUUAAAGUUAAUCAUAGGAACCCUGGAGAGGAUGUCACAGAAAGGCUCCUGGCAAACUAAACUGAGGAACCAAAGCUCCCUCAUCAUCACGUCAGUGCUGAUGCAAAUGUGGAAGUCUGUGAACAACAAUAGUCAUUGACUGCAAGAUGAAGAAGGUUUCAGAGAAGGGUGGGGGAGGGGAGUGAAGGAAAGAAAAGCAAAGCAGAUUGAGAACACAGAGAUUCACCUCAGUGGGGUUCGAAUGCUCUCCUGGAACUGUGAGGAAGCACUUAAGCUCAUGCCGAUCCAAAUGUGGGCCUGAUUCUGUGCACUCCUUGAUGACACACAGAUUCAUUGGUGAUAUAAAACAUUUAUGAACUUCAAUUACCCAGUUCAACGUGAACACCCAAAGAAUGACACAGAGUUCAAAUCGGAAUAGACUGUCUCCCAAAUUCUCCAUGUUAAAAAUGAGGACAGUGCAGCCCAGCAAAAGAAGAGAAGUCACCGCAGACAGGACAGGCUAGCCUGAGAGGAAGACAGUGAGAAAUCUUGGAAGGAGAAAUUGAGCAACUGUAGAGCCAUUCCCCAGGAACGGCCUGGAAGAGGACAACCUAGAGAUCCUCACUGUGUCUGCAAACAGGCUCCCUAUCUCCAGACUCUGUUCUGUGGAACCAUGUGGCUUUCAUGCCACAGCAUCAGGCAGGGUUCAGCAGUGGUGACUGAUAGACCACACAACACUGGGAAGCAGCAGCAUCUCUCACGGUAGCAAAGCUGUGCACCAACUUUUGUUUUUAUUCUUUUAGUUUUGCAUUUUGUUUUGGGGCACUCACCAUGCAGUUCAGGCUGACUUCAAGGCUGUAAUCCUUCUGCCUCAACAUGUGAAAACUGAGAUUACAGGUGUGCAUCAUCGUGUCUGACUGGGUAGUUUUUAUUUUAAGAAUUCAAACUAAUCACCCCAGAUCUUACUAUUAAAAAAAAAUCAAGUCUCAGGAUCUGUGUGUUUACUCAGAGAAAGAGCCUCCCAUGCAUCAUUGCUGUGGAAGUGUGCUGACCAGAGGCAGCCAAAGGACAGCUCGUCUCAGUGGUUAGAUCUCUCUCUCUCCUUUCUUUCCAACACCAGUCACAAACAAUUUCCAUCUUUGUCACACUCCAUUUAUUUAGUGUGUGUAGACCAAGUGAGCUACACCAGAACACAAGAUGUUGGCCAGCUCAGAUAAACAAACGUUUACUGAGUGCUCAUGGAUGGCUUGUCAUUGGGCUUGGCCUUGGAAAUAUAAACAUGUCACUGUCCUGCCCCUGGAGUAAUUUUCCUGUCUAGGUUUUAGCUUUUACCUAAAAUCAUCCAACUGCUCUUACAUCCUGGUGCCCAGUUUGAACUUUGCUGGCCUGUCUCUUCCAAGCUCUGAUGACAUACUUUCUUAAUGUGCCUAACCGUACUGACCUAGUCACAUGACAACCCCCCCAUUCCUUCUAGCAUAACCUGACCCUCCCAGAUGACAACUCCAUCCUAAUCCUGUGAAUAAGCACCUACUGUACCUCAGCUGAGAGAUGGUAACUUAAUCCUCCCCUAGUCAAGUACAUUUUAAUUUAAUAAGAAAUACUAUUAAGUACUUACUGAACAUUUGGGAUAGUAUUAGGAAUCACAGAAAACACUGAGACAGUAUGUAUUCCACGUCAUGCUUAGCAGCACACAUAGAACCCACUUUAGACUUCACAGUACCCCUGUGAACAUUAUCAGUUCGUUGGCAGACGUGGAAAUUGACCCAGAGGAGGCAUGUCCACUUGUUUGGGGUAGAGUGAGCAUCCCAGCUCAAGUGUAUGCUCAGAGUCUAGCCGUAGAAUCUAAAGCUCCUCUCUGCACGCCACUCAUAGGUUACGAUGUUGCUAUUCACACAGUCAUUCUCCAUUUCGCAAAUGAGAAGGAACUACAGUUUAGGGAUGUUAAGAAACCUGCCUCCGAGCAGAAUGAAAACUGAGCGGGUCUGUCUGACUUUAGAUAAUCCUGCUCUUGCCAAAAGUUGCCUCAGGGUUCAAUACAAGG
Long non-coding RNA from Peromyscus leucopus (white-footed mouse), 2787 nucleotides. RefSeq lists it as uncharacterized. The transcript is spliced from 3 exons. The record is from RefSeq and is a predicted model, not a curated record. NCBI's taxonomy places the organism in Eukaryota, Metazoa, Chordata, Mammalia, Rodentia, Cricetidae.